This 433-nucleotide ribosomal RNA is filed under the name uncultured bacterium. Its description in RNAcentral is "partial 16S ribosomal RNA". It matches the Rfam family "Bacterial small subunit ribosomal RNA", at positions 29 to 507 of the family's 1533-position model. The record is from RNAcentral.
AACGAACGCUGGCGGCAUGCCUAACACAUGCAAGUCGAACGAAGCCUUCGGGCUUAGUGGCGCACGGGUGCGUAAAGGGGGGGAAUAUGCCCCUUGCUUCGGAAUAACAGGUAGAAAUGACCGCUAAUACCGGAUGAAGUAUUCGGACCAAAGGUUUAACGGCAGGGGAUGAGCCCGCGUAGGCUUAGGUAGUUGGUGGGGUAAAGGCCUACCAAGCCGACGAUCCUUAGCUGGUCUGAGAGGCAGGGCAGCCACACUGGGACUGGGACACGGCCCAGACUCCUACGGGAGGGAGGAGUGGGGAAUAUUGGAAAAUGGACGCAAGUCUGAUCCAGCAAUGCCGCGUGAGUGAUUAAGGCCUUAGGGUUGUAAAGCUCUUUUACCAGGGAUGAUAAUGACAGUACCUGGAGAGUAAGCUCCGGCUAACUCCGUG